Molecule: transfer RNA, 89 nt
Filed under: Patescibacteria group bacterium
Lineage: Bacteria
Description: tRNA-Leu
Rfam family: tRNA
About the family: Transfer RNA (tRNA) molecules are approximately 80 nucleotides in length.
Source: RNAcentral
GCCGGGGUGGCGAAACUGGUAUACGCGCAGGACUUAAAAUCCUGUGUCCCGUAAAGCGGGACGUGUGGGUUCGACCCCCACCCUCGGCA